GAUAAACUGUGUCUUUUACCGAACGAGAAGAUUGCGCUUGCAUUGAGAGUGCCAUUGUGAUAAACUGUGUCUUUUACCGAACGAGAAGAUUGCGCUUGCAUUGAGAGUGCCAUUGUGAUAAACUGUGUCUUUUACCGAACGAGAAGAUUGCGCUUGCAUUGAGAGUGCCAUUGUGAUAAACUGUGUCUUUUACCGAACGAGAAGAUUGCGCUUGCAUUGAGAGUGCCAUUGUGAUAAACUGUGUCUUUUACCGAACGAGAAGAUUGCGCUUGCAUUGAGAGUGCCAUUGUGAUAAACUGUGUCUUUUACCGAACGAGAAGAUUGCGCUUGCAUUGAGAGUGCCAUUGUGAUAAACUGUGUCUUUUACCGAACGAGAAGAUUGCGCUUGCAUUGAGAGUGCCAUUGUGAUAAACUGUGUCUUUUACCGAACGAGAAGAUUGCGCUUGCAUUGAGAGUGCCAUUGCGAUAAACUCUGUCUGACUACACAUCAUUGCAAAAGGGAAAAACUCAUACGAUUUUCAUUGAAUAAGACCAAAAGCUAUAGUACCUGCCACCUGGUGUUCGACGAAUUUCCCAAUGAAAAAUGCCCACUUGCUUUCUUCGCUUAUUUACAGCAGAAAUUUUACCAGUCUAGCUACCAAAUACAAGGAUGUCAAUAUGGAAAGCAAAUGCUCAAGAGAUUGAAUUCAAUCAUAAUUGUCUCACUGAAAAAAGGACAAGGGGUUUGGAGAUGGAAUUUCAAGGAAUGAAUAGCUUACUGUUUCUCUGCCACUUCCUUUUCCAAAACAAGACCAAGGCUAGGCCCAAGAACAGCAGCCCUGCAGAUAACACACAGCUUACAACGAUCCGUAUGUGGUAGUCUGGACGUCAGGCAGUUAAGAGCAGAAAACUGGGAGUUAAGAUAUUGAAAUAAUAGAAAACUCAGCCAGUUGAAGCUCUAUAUAUAUGUUUUCUGGAAGACACUUAGAAGCUUUUUGAAGUCCCACCACCGUGGCAUCCAAAUUCAUAUGUAAAGUGGUUCAUUGUCUGUAGAUAACUAAGUUUCUAGAUUUAGAAGUCAUAAAUUCUGCUUCAGG
Molecule: long non-coding RNA, 1076 nt
Organism: Jatropha curcas
Lineage: Eukaryota; Viridiplantae; Streptophyta; Magnoliopsida; Malpighiales; Euphorbiaceae
Source: RefSeq, a predicted model, not a curated record